Molecule: ribosomal RNA, 484 nt
Filed under: uncultured bacterium
Lineage: Bacteria
Description: partial 16S ribosomal RNA
Rfam family: Bacterial small subunit ribosomal RNA
Source: RNAcentral
GCUUAACACAUGCAAGUCGAGCGGUAACAUGACUAGUAGCAAUACUAGUUGAUGACGAGCGGCGGACGGGUGAGUAACACGUAGGAACUUGCCCAGUAGUGGGGGACAACCAAGGGAAACUUUGGCUAAUACCGCAUAUUCUCGAGAGAGGAAAGCUGCCGAAAGGUGGCGCUAUUGGAGAGGCCUGCGUCCGAUUAGCUAGUUGGUAGGGUAAAAGCCUACCAAGGCGAGGAUCGGUAACUGGUCUGAGAGGACGACCAGUCACACUGGGACUGAGACACGGCCCAGACUCCUACGGGAGGCAGCAGUGGGGAAUCUUGGACAAUGGGGGCAACCCUGAUCCAGCGAUGCCGCGUGAGUGAAGAAGGCCUUCGGGUCGUAAAGCUCUUUAGGCUGGGAAGAAGGUUGGUAGUUUAAGAGAUAAUCAAUUUGACUGUACCAGCAGAAUAAGCACCGGCAAACUCUGUGCCAGCAGCCGCAGUAA